GUGUCCGUAGCCCAAUCUGGCAGAGGCGCCACGCUCAGAACGUGGAUGAUGGAGGUUCGAGUCCUCCCGGGCACACCA
This 78-nucleotide transfer RNA is filed under the name Planctomycetota bacterium. Its description in RNAcentral is "Planctomycetes bacterium (activated sludge metagenome) tRNA-Leu". It matches the Rfam family "tRNA". Rfam says of the family: Transfer RNA (tRNA) molecules are approximately 80 nucleotides in length. Their secondary structure includes four short double-helical elements and three loops (D, anti-codon, and T loops). The record is from RNAcentral. Lineage: Bacteria; Pseudomonadati; Planctomycetota.